Molecule: non-coding RNA, 46 nt
Organism: Myotis davidii
Lineage: Eukaryota; Metazoa; Chordata; Mammalia; Chiroptera; Vespertilionidae
Source: Rfam
CCAAAGGCUCUUUUCAGAGCCGCCUAGAGUUUCCGUGGGAGAGCUG